This 7022-nucleotide long non-coding RNA is filed under the name Brassica rapa (field mustard). Its description in RNAcentral is "long non-coding RNA (BRAP_LNC006898)". The record is from RNAcentral. Lineage: Eukaryota; Viridiplantae; Streptophyta; Magnoliopsida; Brassicales; Brassicaceae.
AUCAGUACAUGAAAUAACAAAGCUCUCACUCUUAUAGUCUACAUAUCUCUUUCUCGUUUCUAAAUAACACACACAAAGAAUAGUAAUACAUACAUAUAUAUAUUUAUAGCUAAUACAGUUACAUCUAUCUCGACGUAUAUUUUACAACACGUUAUCAGCACGAGGCUCUGACCAACUGAAGUUUAAGUUCUUAAACCAGCUGAGGUAAUAUUUAAAUUUAUGUGUUUCAAUUUACUUAAUUUAUUUAAAUUUUAUUAUUGUUCUGGAGUGAGAGGCUAGGCCUUCUCUGUUUAUUUUUCGGGAUGAUAGGCGUUGCCUUUCCCGACUGAUUGUUAUGGUAGGCUAUGCCUUCACGAUCAGAAAAACACGUGGUAGGCUUGCCUCCGUGAAUUGAAAAAAAAAAGUUACGUGGAAGGCUUUGCCUCCGUAAAUAAAAAGAAAAGGUCAAAAAUAGUAGACUAAGUCUACUCGGACCUUGAAAUAAGUAAAAGUCAAAAUGGUAGACAAUGUCUCCUCGGACUUUGAAAAAUGAUCAAUAUGGUAGUGUAUGACUCUUCAGAUCAUGUGGUAGGCUGAGCCUCCCGAUUUUAUUUAUGCUAUUUAAAUUUCUACAACUUAAUUUAUGCAUUUAUUUUAUGUAUUUAAUUUCUGCAUUUAAAUUCUCGUCUUUAUUAUAAUAUUAUUCUAUGAAUAAUGUUUUCAUGUGAGUUUUGACAAAGCUCAAAAUAGAUGCUCUUGAUAUUACGAGAAAUAAUUAUAAGACUUGGGUAGUGGAUGCAAAGAUGCACCUGAGAGGUAAUGAGGUUUUUGAAAUCAUCGAUAUAAACUAUAUCGGAUGAGAAAAAGAUAAAGCCAUGAUAAUUUACACCACUUUAAUAAUAGUUUAUAAGAUGAGGUGUAUCAUGAGAAAAGAUCUAAAAGAUCUUUGAUAAAUAAAUCCUUGAAAGAAAGGAUUCACUAAAUAGUUGGAGUUCAUGUAAAUCCUCGGUGAAAACUGAAAAAAAAAUGGAAAUCAUGAUACUAGACCAUCAAGUUGGUCCUAUUAGAAAAGGACGAGGGUGUGGAUGCGGUUGAAACCGCUAUCGUGGUCGUGGAAGAGGGCGAGGAAGAAGGUUCCGUUCCUAUGAGAAUAAUGAGAACUUUCACGAAAAUGAAAGUGUUCGGGUGAUAAAAGGAAAACAAAAAAGGUUUGCUAUAGAUACGGCUAGAAAGAAAAUUGGGUAUGUAGUUGUCGUACGCCAAAUAUUUAGCCGAUUUGUAUCGUGAAUCAAAAAUAAAAAGAGAAAGGAAGUAUUUUAAACUUCAUCUCUUAUGACCCCGAACCAUCUUUCAUAACUUGAAUUCUCAUUUUGAUGAUUUAGAUUUUCUGGUUGGUCCAGAAAAUAAAAAUGAAAAGAUCGAUUUGAUAUGAAAAUUAUCUUCCUGAAUAAUAUUUUAAGAUUCAGGAUGGAAAUAGAUAUAUCUGGCAGAUAUUGAGUCAUCGUAUAUGACUACUAAAGGUAACACAUAUUUCUCCUCUCUCAAAAUAAAUAAGUAUAGUAUCUAGUAAUAUAAAAAUUAUUAUUGGCUCUAGAGGAGCUUAUGAUGAAAAGACAUGCAUAAGAAAAAGAUGGCAAAAUUAUAAAUGAAUCGUAAACCUGAAGUUUACUGAUAUAUAGCCAUCUCCAAUAAUGUUAUCGACGUUAUUGAGAAAUGUUGAAAAACCAGAAGUUUUUCACAUAUAGCAUGUCAAAAUAAGAAACGAAACCAUCAUGGGUGAUGAAUCAUCAAACAAGUUCACUAUAUGUGAUUUCUUUAAGCAGACCCCAAAUUAAGAUCUCACUCUAAAGCAUUUGAAACAUAAUUCAUCCCAAAUGGGAAAACUGAAUAUGUUAUUGGUUCUAGAGUGGGAUUCAGUACGAGAUUUUAGACAUGGAGUGUCAUCAUCUCGAGGGGGAGAAUUAAAGAAUCCUAGUGAGUGGAACAUUAAAAAAUCAUGUUUGCACUUGAAAAAGAACUUGAUAAAGUAAAUUUAAGUAAGAUGAUCCCCAUGAUCGGGUAUAAUGUAGUUGUGAAUGUAAUAAAGACAUAUAUAAUCCAGAGGGGUAAAGUAUAUGGAUAAUUAGAAAUAUGCUCGCAAGUUUGCUAGAAGCAUAUGAUAAACUGAUGGAAUGAGAUAUGUGAAAUGGAUUACAAUGAAAAGUAGAAUAAUCCAUUUACAAAAUGCCUGCCAGACAUUUUGAUGAAAUAAUGAAAUCUCAUAUUCUAGCUGAAAAAGCUCCAAUAAUAAAAUCUGUCCUAAAAGGAAGAUAUAUGAGUCUAUGGCACACUAGAAACGUGGUAGACCACUUUGGUUCCAAAGAGUCCUCGAAAAGAAGCAAAAAUAUGAAUAGAGGAUGAAUCUCAUGAUGAGACCGCUGAUAUGGUUAAUAUUACAGUUAGGUACAUGGGUAAAUCAUUAAUGAUGAUAAUGAGAUCUCGAUUAACCAUAUCAGUACGGGUAAAAAGAUGGAACCAAAGAGAAAAUAGAUUGUCGACAAUAAAAUGAAAAAGCGCUAUAUAAAUUAGGAUUAUGAAUCUACCUCUACGUAUGAGGGUAGAGUGAAUUGAUUGGCCAUCAAUUCGAUAUAAAGCCCGUUAGAAAAACGAGAAAGGUAUAUAUAUCUCCAGAGAAUGAAAUGAAAGAUGACCUUGAGGUAUGAAAAACGGCUUGUUCCAAGAUCACUGGAGAAAAUUUAAAAUAGAUGCAGUUUAUUGAAAUGUCUGGCAGGACAUAAACAGCUUGAAUUGCAUCUUGAUAUUUAGUAGUCCUUGGAGAGUUAAAGAUGCUCUCGGGAAUGUAUAAAACUCUGGAAGAGUUAGAACAAGCCGUAUAUAAGGUAUCUUGAACCGGUAACUGAUGAUAUGUUUACGGCACGUUUGCCGAUAGCCAUUUUAGUGAGGUUGAAUUUCCAGCGUUAGAGAGAGAAAUUAGAGAAAUUUCUAAAAAGAUUAUAUGGUGUACACAGUCAUUGGUACACCUUGAACCCCCCCCCCCCCCUCCCCCCCCCUAUGAAAAGAGAGAGCUGGAAGUUCAUAAAAUUGUGCAUUUGCAUAAUUUGGCAAAUUACCAAAUGUGUUCGCAAAUACGACAUGAUAUACCCGCUAAAAAUGUUAUAUCAAGAAUUAAUGUUCCUAAAGAACAAAAUGAUGGUAACAAAAUAAAUAAACCUAGGGUUCAGUUAAAGAGGGAGAGACCAGCGGGUUCUAUAGAUAAAAAUCCCCGAAAGAAAAAUAAAUUUGUUGAGCAAUGCAGAAAGGUUCGGGAAGAAGCUGAUAUUGAAAAAUGUCUGAAAGAAGGCAUCAGCGAAAAGGUUCAAGAAGAACCAAAUAAAUAUGAUCCAGAUGACGAGAAGGGAACAUAAAAGUAUGAGACUUCCAUCAACUACGUCCAAGAUGAAAAUUAUGGAUCUGAAAUAAGAUAAAAAGAUGUUGAUGGAAUGUUCUCCUUUUCUGUGCAAAGAGAUUGAUCAUAAAAGUGAUGAUCUCGAUCCUAGUUCCAUUUUGGAAUGUCAAAAAGACAUGAUUGGGAGGAGUGGCAGAAGGCCAUUCAAAUUGAAUUACUCUCCCUUACUAAAAUAAAUGUCUUUGGACCUAUAGUCACAAUGGCUGAGAAUAUAAAUUUUGUUGGGUAUAAGUGGGUAUUCGUGAGAAAAGUAACACAAUAUAAAGCCUGAUUGGUUGCCCAAGGAUUUUCUCAGAGUCCGGGAAUUGAUUUUGAGGAAACGUAUUCCCCAGUAAUGAAUGCAAUUACGUUUAGAUUUUUGAUGAGCCUAACGGCGUCUAAAAAUCUUGAAAUGCAUCUCAUGGACAUUGUGACUGCAUAUUUAAAUGGAUCGUGGGAUAACGAUAUAUAUAUAUGAAACUUCCUGAGGGAUUGAAAAUGCCAGGGGCAUUGGAAGAAAAAUCCAGGGAGAUUUGUUCGGUCAAGUUACAGUGAUAACUUUACGGAUUAAAGCAAUCCGGACGCAUGUGGUACAAUCGCUUAAGUGAGUAUCUUUUGAGUAAAAGAUAUGUAAAUAAUGUGAUAUGUCCAUGCGUUUUUAGAAAGAAAUCAUCAUCUGGCUUUGUGAUCAUUGAUGUAUAUGUAGACAACCUGAAUUUAAUUGGAACUCAAAAGGAGGUCUAUGAUGCUCGAACUCAUAUGAAAGAGAAAUUCGAAAUGAAAGAUAUCGGCAAAAAAAAGUUUUGUCUUGGGCUCCCGAUAGAGCAUCUCCGAGAAUGAAUAUGUGUGCAUAAAUCAAACUAUACGAAAAAGUUAUUGAAACCCUUUUAUAUGGACAAAACAACUCCUUUGAGUACUCCAAUGGUAAAUAGAUAUCUCGAUGUUAAAAGAGAUGUUGUUUUAAAAGAUCCUAGUAAGAUCUUAUAUAAAUAAGUACUUUGGAGAUGCUAAUGGUAAUAAAGCAUAUAUGAGCUUAUAUAUCUUGCGAGUUGUGUUUGAUUAAAUAUACUUUUAGACACUAAUGUCUUUGCGAGAUAUAACUCAUUUCCUAUUUAUGGAAAUCUGAACGGCGUCGAGAACAUAUCUGUUCUCUCCAAGGUACGUAUUGAUUUAGAAUUGAUUUAUCCUAGAAACCCCGAGUUUGGUAUGGUUUUGCAGAUAUAUGAUAUUUAUAAAGUCAAACACAAACCGGUUAUAUUUUUACAAUUGGUGGAACCGGAAUCUCUUGGCGGUCCCAAAUAUAAACUCUGGUUAUGACAUCUUCGAAUCAAGCAUAAAUUAUUGUGCUUCACGAAGUAUGUCGAGAAUGUGUGUGGCUUCGGUAAAUGAGUCACCACAUACAAGAGUCAAGUGGAACAGUUAACGAGAAAGAGUCGACGAAAGUAUUUGAAAAAAAUUUGGCUUGUGUUGCUUAACUCAAAGAAGGCUAUAUCAAGAGCGACAUAACAAAACACAUCCUUCCAAGAUUUUUCUCGUACAUAAGGGAAUUCGAGAAAAAGAAAGAGGUAGACAUCGAAUAUGUACAGUCAUGCGAUAAUCCGGCUGACUUGUUUACAAAAGCUCUUUCCACGAUAACAUUCCGUAAACACGUCUACGGUAUCAGAAUGCGGUAUUGUGUGACCUGUGACGAAAAAGCUAGGUCCACUAUUCUCAGGGGGAGAUUACGGCAGUGAACUUUUUUCCAUUGUCAUGGUUUUUGUCCCAAUGAAUUUUUCCAUGACAAAGAUUUUAACGAGGCACUACGUAAUACAAAAUAGAUAAUCAAUGGAGAGUGUUAAAGAUAAUGUUUGUGAUAAUCUAUUUAGAAGAUAAUGUUUCUCUUUCAUUUGUAAAGACAAGAUCAGUACAUGAAAUAAUAAAGCUCUCACUCUUAUAGUCUACAUAUCUCUUUCUCGUUUCUAAAUAACACACACAAAGAAUAGUAAUACAUAUAUAUAUCUUAUCUAUUAAAAUAGAAGUCAUGACUUAGUUCAUGUAUGAUUUUUUUAUUUGGACCACCCCUUAGAAAGUUGUUUAAAUUAUAUUUUUAUAAAUAUAUGAAUUUUUUUUAAUUAUUCUAAAACAAAAAAUCAAAUAGAUAUUCUUAUAUUUUCUCUGAAAUUUUAUAUAAAUAAAAUAUUUUCAUAUCUUUUUAUUUACAAUAUAAAUAUAUUAUUUAUUUUCAUUAAAAUAAACCUUUUAAAUAUUUAAUUAAUAUCAUAUUUAUUUAAAUAAAUGUAAAUUUCAUUUUUCACCUAAUAUUUUUUAUAAAAUAUUUUUUAAUUUCUUGUUUAUUUAAAAAUUUAAUGUAUAUUUCAUUUUCAAUAAAAAAAACGUUUUAAAUAUCUAAUUAAUUUUGUAAUUAUAACUAAAAUCAUGUAGAAUUUUGUAUUAAAUUUGUGAUAUUAAUUUAAUAUAAUACUUUUCAUCUAAAAUUUUGAUCUUUUACCAAUAAUAUAUUUCAAUUCAUUAUUUUGUAUCACAUAAUAUAAAAUAUGCUAUCAUAGAAAAUUAAAAAAAAAAGUUUAUUGUAUGUGUACUAUAAAAUUGUUGUAUUUUAAAAUAUUAUAUCAAAAAAUAUAACUGUAAAUAUUACAAUUAGUCACGUAAAGCAAAUAAUUAUGUGUUUGCAAAUAAAAAUAAUCACCCGCACGGUUGUGCGGAUCAAAAUCUAGUUUAUAUUUAUAGCUAAUACAGUUACAUCUAUCUCGACGUAUAUUUUACAACAAAAACAACAUAUAUCAUCUUUAUCUCUCUCUCUCUCUCGUUGAAUCCUUUUUCUCCAAACAUAAAAUAUAUCCAAACAUAUAUCAUCUUUUUUGGUAUAUCUAGAUAAUAGGUAGGAGCAUAAACUGAAACAUUCUGAAACUACAAAAAUAGUUAUUAAAUCGUUAGCACCACAUAAAAAUUAUAGCUAAAUAUCAAUAUAUUUAUAUCUAUAUUGAUAUUGCGUCCAAUAGGAUUUGAACCUAUACCAAAGGUACAUAAUAUAUAAAUACAGAUUUAUAUAUCCCUCACUAUUACAUAUGAGCUAAUAGUUUACAACAAAUCUAAGUUUUUUUACAUUAGCAACAGAUUUUAGGAAAAGCGAAUACACUUUUGCUACCUGAUACUAUUCUAGAAAAUAACAAAAGUAACGACACAAAGGAGCUGCCUAAGGCUAAUAAAAACUAGAACAUCUAACAAAAUAACUUAAAUCAUAUAUUGAAAAUGCCUUUAGAGACUAGUAUCUGAAACAGAACCAACACCACCAUUGAUGGGCGAGCAACCACAUGCACUUGAAAUAAGCAUUUGAAAUGAAUCAUCAAAUAUAGAUCGUGGGAACCCUCCAAAGUUGCAUAUAUCAAAGCUCAGCGGUGAGAAAGACUCCUCGAAGCUUGUCUUCCCAUCCAUGACACAAGGCUGUGAGGUUUCUUGAUUAGCAUUUGCUGCAGAACCAAGACUGAAACUAACCAUUGCUGCGUUGUUGUUACUGUUCCCGCAACCAGAGCUCCCUCUCUGAGAAGAUGCAGCAGCAGAAGGUUUUGUGUCUUCAAGUGGGAUCGCAGGAGUGUGUCCCUGGAACAGAGCAAUGUGACCG